This 147-nucleotide ribosomal RNA is filed under the name Schismatoclada psychotrioides. Its description in RNAcentral is "5.8S ribosomal RNA". It matches the Rfam family "5.8S ribosomal RNA", at positions 1 to 138 of the family's 154-position model. Rfam says of the family: 5.8S ribosomal RNA (5.8S rRNA) is a component of the large subunit of the eukaryotic ribosome. It is transcribed by RNA polymerase I as part of the 45S precursor that also contains 18S and 28S rRNA. Functionally, it is thought that 5.8S rRNA may be involved in ribosome translocation. Lineage: Eukaryota; Viridiplantae; Streptophyta; Magnoliopsida; Gentianales; Rubiaceae. The record is from RNAcentral.
CCAAAACGACUCUCGGCAACGGAUAUCUAGGCUCUCGCAUCGAUGAAAAACGUAGCGAAAUGCGAUACUUGGUGUGAAUUGCAAAAUCCCGUGAACCAUCGAGUUUUUGAACGCAAGUUGCGCCCGAAGCCAUUAGGCUGAGGGCAC